This 416-nucleotide ribosomal RNA is filed under the name uncultured bacterium. RNAcentral describes it as "bacterial SSU rRNA". It matches the Rfam family "Bacterial small subunit ribosomal RNA", at positions 29 to 456 of the family's 1533-position model. The record is from RNAcentral.
AACGAACGCUGGCGGCAUGCCUAACACAUGCAAGUCGAACGGGAUCCGAGCUUCGGUUCGGUGAGAGUGGCGGACGGGUGAGUAACGCGUGGGAACCUGCCCAGUGGUGGGGGAUAACUGCGGGAAACUGCAGCUAAUACCGCAUGAGCCCGAGAGGGGAAAGAUUUAUCGCCAUUGGAGGGGCCCGCGUUCGAUUAGGUAGUUGGUGAGGUAACGGCUCACCAAGCCUUCGAUCGAUAGCUGGUCUGAGAGGAUGAUCAGCCACACUGGGACUGAGAUACGGCCCAGACUCCUACGGGAGGCAGCAGUGGGGAAUAUUGGACAAUGGGGGGCGAACCCUGAUCCAGCAAUGCCGCGUGAGUGAUGAAGGCCUUCGGGUUGUAAAGACGUCUUUUGUCCUAGGGACGAAGUGAUGA